This 429-nucleotide ribosomal RNA is filed under the name uncultured Coriobacteriaceae bacterium. Its description in RNAcentral is "bacterial SSU rRNA". It matches the Rfam family "Bacterial small subunit ribosomal RNA", at positions 355 to 794 of the family's 1533-position model. Lineage: Bacteria; Bacillati; Actinomycetota; Coriobacteriia; Coriobacteriales; Coriobacteriaceae. The record is from RNAcentral.
UGGGGAAUCUUGCGCAAUGGGGGGAACCCGUGACGCAGCGACGCCGCGUGCGGGACGAAGGCCCUAGGGUCGUAAACCGCUUUCAGCAGGGAAGAGGCCGCGAGGUGACGGUACCUGCAGAAGAAGCCCCGGCUAAAUACGUGCCAGCAGCCGCGGUAAUACGUAUGGGGCGAGCGUUAUCCGGAUUCAUUGGGCGUAAAGCGCGCGUAGGCGGCCUGGCAGGCCGGGAGUCAAAUCCGGGGGCUCAACCCCCGCCCGCUCCCGGAACCUCCAGGCUUGAGUCUGGCAGGGGAGGGUGGAAUACCCGGUGUAGCGGUGGAAUGCGCAGAUAUCGGGUAGAACACCGGUGGCGAAGGCGGCCCUCUGGGCUUUAACUGACGCUGAGGCACGAAAGCGUGGGUAGCAAACAGGAUUAGAUACCCUGGUAGU